RNAcentral lists this transfer RNA (66 nucleotides) under Phlaeoba infumata. RNAcentral's name for it is "tRNA-Cys". It matches the Rfam family "tRNA". Rfam says of the family: Transfer RNA (tRNA) molecules are approximately 80 nucleotides in length. Lineage: Eukaryota; Metazoa; Arthropoda; Insecta; Orthoptera; Acrididae. The record is from RNAcentral.
GGCUUUAUAUUCAAAAAAUGAUAUUAGACUGCAAUUCUAAAGGUGUAAGUUAAAAUACUAAGGCCU